Molecule: long non-coding RNA, 3041 nt
Organism: Bombyx mori (domestic silkworm)
Lineage: Eukaryota; Metazoa; Arthropoda; Insecta; Lepidoptera; Bombycidae
Exons: 2
Source: RefSeq, a predicted model, not a curated record
UUUCGUCCUGGUAAUUAUUAAAAGACAGAGUCAGUCUAUUACGGCCAAUUCGUUUUAAGCUUCCGUUAACAGGUGAAUGAAGUUAGCCCCUCAAAAAAAUUUUUUUUUCCUGUUUUCUACUUAUUUUCUAUUAAUUCGUUUGUUCAUCAUUUGUUCUUGAUUGUUCAUUGUUAAUAAUUGUUUGUUCCCCAUUUAUUUAUUUUAAAAAAAAUAUUAAAAAUAUAUCUAAAAGUUAGCCCCUCGAUUGCAAUUUUUAAUAUUUUUUCGUCCUUAAUUACUCGUAAAUAUUCAUUUUCGAUUGUUCUUAUAUAAAAUACGUUUGUUCUCUUUCGAAAUUACUCAUUUUUUGUUUAAUUAAUUGUAUUAGUUGAAUAAAUGUAUACAAAAUAUGUGUACUGCGCAUGCCAUAAGUGUAUAAUCUAUGGCGCAUGCGUCAACUAUAAUGCCUAAACUUUCUACACGGUUUUAAUCGUGAAAAAAAAACAAUUAUAAAUCCUGAAGGAUCAAUUAAUUGGUAUACAGUUUAAUUAAAAAAAUUAAAAACAAAAUAAAUAAAAUAAUGUGCAUUCGCGUAAAGUUAGACCAAAUACAUUUUUUCCAUCCUCCUAUAUACCUAUCGCUAUGAAGGUAUAAAAAAGAUAGGUUAAGAGUAGACAUGCGCAAAACAUCACUUCCCAAUGUAAUGUGAUAUGACAUCACUUUUACAGACAGGUGAUAUUACUCGAAAACAUUACACAUCACUCAUAACAUUACUCGGUGCGUUCAAUAGAUACUGUGACGACGAAUACAUUGUAUCUAUACACCCGAAUCAUUACUUAAGUGAUGUGUUGAUACACAUCACUUAGGUAAUGAUUCGGGUAUGUCAUUACAGUAGUGUAUUACAAUACAAAGUAUGAACUUUGUAUUGUAAUACACUGUUAUAUUACUUGACAGAGAUUGACUUACUUAAUAAUAUAAUAAUUUUAUUUUUUACUUAAUAUAAUUUAUUGUGGGAUGAACGGAUUUCAUAUGGCGACUUAGACUGCAAAUUGAGCUCGACAAUAAUGUUAAUUAAUAUAUUAUACGAGAGCAGUAGAUGCAUUGUUUCGGCGCGAUAUCUUCAAAGUGCAUCCAAGGAGGACUGUACUUUCAUUUAGACGCCGUUAUUUCUUUCACUUAUUAAACACGCAUUAAAACAAAUAAUAAAACUAUCUUCAAACAAGUGCUUAAGUAAUUCAAAUCAAACACAAAAAUUAAUAUGAAAUAUUACUAAACAAUUACGAGCGACUAGCGAUUUUACAAAAGUUGCGAAUAAAAAAUUAAGUAACUACUUGCGGGGAACUACCGGCUGGCCGCAUGAAAAAUAUAAACACAAAUACCUAUAUUAAAAUUCAGACUUACCAUAGGUAUAAAAAUGUACCUAGCGGCCAGGGCAUACGGUUCAAAAUCACUAGGAAUAAUUCCGUGUCUCUUGCUCAUUUAUUUUGCGUCGAUCGGUCUGUCUCGCUCGCUCGGUUCCGUUCGUGUAUUAAGGAACAUUACACGACAAAGAAAGAAACAUGUUGGGUGAUAGUGUGAUGUUUGUUGCCUUCGCGUAAUGUGUGAUGUUGCAUUACAUCGUAGGGUAAUAUUACCCGAGUAAUAUCACUCGCAUUACUUACACAUGUCUAGUUAAGAGUUCACAUAGGUAAUAUAAACAAAUAAGUAAAUAUGUUCAUUAUUUAUCUUUCAAGAGAUAAUGUAGGUAUACAUUAUAAUAACAUUUUGACACAGUCGAAAUUAUAUUCCUAACAUUAGUAAAAUAACAUUUUAAUAUUUUUUUUAUAGGUUAUGUAUUGAAAUUGUUGGAAAAUUAUUUCAUGUUUUAGCUGGAAAACUACAUGGAGAAUUAUAUGCAAUACAAGAUAAUGAGCUCCAUUAAAUGAAUUCGAAUGAAACCAAACUGUUUACCAUCCAAAUUCGAUUGUCGGGCAGAUAGAAAACGAAAAUUCACUCAUAGUGAACCUCGGCCUGCAUUUGUGAAACGGCAAAGACUCACUAUUAUCAAGGAAAUUGAAGAGACAACUAAAAAUGAGAUGUGUCGUAUUAUUAUACCUUUUCCAUCUUGUAGUCAAGAUGUCCAGCCACUUGAAAAUAGGUGUAGUAAUGACAAAGCUAUCCAAGUAGCUCCAGCACAGGAACACAAAGGCAAGGCAAGUGUGUAUUGCCACAUCACCCCUUAAUAUAUCUGAAGCAAAUAUAAGUAAACAAUCAGAACCAGCAAAAAAAAAACUGUUGUUCCUGAGGACAAAUUUGACAGUGAUGAGUCAAAUGCACCAGCAACAGAAGGAUCAACUGUUGACUAUGAGUUAUCUCUCUAUAUCUCCACUCCAUCAAAGACUUGUGCACUUCAGACUAUAGUUCUCAAGAAGACUAAAAAGUUGAAAAAAUGAAUGUGUUAACAACUUUAUCUAAAGUGAAAAAUAAACAACGUUUAUAUAUUGGUCUUCCACAAGAAUUAUGUUUCAUAAUAGGCUUGAUUGAGAAACAUACAAAUGUUUCUGAACAAAAUAUUAUAUUAUGUCUGAUGAGAAUAACAUUAAAUAGAACAUUCUCUCAAUUGGCUGAUGAUUUCGAUUUAUCUGUAAGUCAAGCAAGCAAUAUAUUUUUCAACAAACUCCCAGAAAUUGCAAAUGUAAUAUCACCCCUUGUUAGACUAUAAAAAAAACAAUACAAUAAAUAUAUAUGCAGGAAGGAUAAUUGAUGUCAACUUGGUGGAAAAUAGAAAGUUUUUAGAUAGUUUGCCACCUACAAAACUCUUUAAUUAAAUAAGUAAUCCUUACUUAUAAAUAGGAAGUUUUGUAAGUAUUUUCACUCUUCAUUCAAAAACUACUGAACAGAUUUUAAUAAGACUUUUAUGCUGGUCUUCUAUGGCUAGCAACUCAUUAUUAUUUUGAUUCUGUUUUCCACAAAUGUGCUAAAUAUGGGCUUAUAUAUAUGAAAAGGAAUAAAUAUUAAUGUUAUGUAACCUUUGUACCUGUAUGUUAAGAAUAAUUUUUAAUAAAACAUAAUUUAAAUUGAAA